AUGGAAGAUAGUUCCUGGGUAAAUAUGGCAAAAGGAGGUCUGGGCACCUCGCAGGGCCUGGGCGCUCACCACUAUGUCCAUGAGACGCCUGCUGAGCACAAGGUCCACGGCAUCCAAUUCAUGGAGUUCUCGGAAGUGGAGAACCAGGAUGACUACUACAGCACGGAAGCUGGCUGUAUCCACACCCAGGACCAGCAAGGGGUGCAUGUCAUGUAUGAGGAAGCCUUGAGUGAUCUCAAGGAACUAGAGGCAGAGUUGCUGCUUGUGGCUAGCCAUUACAUUGAGAAAGAAAGGGGUCACAAAGUGGGCAGCCAGCCAAAGAGUGGCCAGGACUGGGGAUGGGCCCAUGCAGGUGUGGACAGAUUAGCUGUGCUCUCUGACAUAUGGACUUGGGAAGCAGCUCUUCUGGAAAACAAGCGCCAGGUAUUCUUGCCUAGGAGACAAAAUGUCUGCUAAAAAACCAUUCUUACAAAAUCCAGUCUUUUUUCUGUUUUUGUUUUUGUAAAUAAAACCCAGUUAGACUUUUAGAAAAGUUCUCAAUCAAGAGAAUAAUUAUUUUAUUUAAAUAAUCUUGGCUAGUUAUAAGGAUGUAAUAAAUUUUAUUUUCUUUACUGAGGUUCAUCACAAAAAACAAAAUGUGAAAGACACUUCUUUAUCUUACAGGUAUUAUUUGUUAGAGGACUGUAUAAUUCCUUCUUAUAAUAUGUAUGCUUUUAGUGAGAAUGAAUGAUGAUUUCAUUCAUGCUCAUUGUGCAGUCAUAGGGACAAUGCUCACUUUGCUAAUUACAGACAAGUUGACCUGAUCAUGGCCUGUAGAAGCAUAUGCCACAUGUGGGUAGGUGAAAGCAUUGGACAGGGUGCUGAGUGCAAUGUUACGGGGGUGAGUUUAAAGCAAUGAAACAGCAGGUUACUAAAUCAUCACUGUGUCACGAAUGGUUCAUAUCCCAAUAAUGAAUGAAACACUGCAAGUUUACUGUUCUUCAUUUGUGCCUUUUGCAUGGAUUAUCAGCCCUUCUAAUAAUCACCAAUUGUUAGGCAUUUACUUAUCAAAUAUGAAGUAUUUACUCCGCCAGGGACUGUUCCAGGCAUUCAGAGACAUAUAGAUAACUAAGUGAAAAUGAUCUUUAUCUUUAAGGAAUUUAUCAUCUACAAAAGAUUCAAUCUCCAAGCAAAAAUUAUAACCUAGUUCCUAACAGUUUAUAAUUGAGUACAUUCAUGAGUCAUGGGGACUCUGCAGAGAGAUUUGUCCUGGGGGAGGGGAGCACUGUCCGGUGUAAGAAAUGCUAGAAAGCCUUUCCAGAGGAAUCGAUAUUUCAUCUUGAUACUAAAACGUGAGUAAGAUGUUGUCUGGCAGGGAAGAAAAGAUUCUUAAGCAGACGAAACAGCAUUAGAAUGUCUGGGGAAUGUAAAUGGGAAGGACCAGCUUGGGGGAUUUUAUUUUGAGAAAGAAAAUCCUACCUUCUUGGAGGAUGGUAGGAAGACUGUUAUGGCUGGGAUGUAAAGGCAUGAUGGGUGGCAACAAGCCACACAUGUGUUUUGGGUGCAGCUUAUAAAGGACCUGCUAAUUAUAUUAUUUUAGAGUCCAUCUUAUAAACAAAGAAGAGCCAUUAGUGAGUUUCCAUAGAGAGAAAUAUGAUCAUAGCUGUGCUUUUAACAGCUACCUUGGGCGUAUGUGAGAGAAUGGAUUGGAAUAGAGCGCCCCUGAGAGAAGAAGUGCAGUUAUUGCAACAGUGACCUGAAAAAUUAGGAGGAAGCAUACAAUGACAAUAGAAGAAUAGAAAGGCAGAGAGGCGGUGAGACCAGGAAGGAGGAACAGACCUGAGAAUACUUUGUAGAAGUGGAAAUGGCAGGAUUGGAAGACUGGAUCUGGAAGUUGGGGCAAGAAAGUAAAGAAGGAAUUAAAACAACUUCCUGGGGGUGAGGGAGGAGGCUAUUAACUGAAACUGAACCCAGGAGGAGGAAGAGUGUCUUUAGAGGGGAAAAUGACAUAGGCCCUAGGACAACAAGGCAUUUGAGGGGGUUUGCUGAAACUCAGGUGUGAAUGUUUUGUGGGCAGCAAUAGGUCUGAAGCUCAGGAACAGGUAUGAGCUGAGGUAUGAAUAUGGAGGUUGAACCACAGUGAUGAAUCAAAACAACUGGGAGAAACUAGAGAUAUCUGAAAUGUAGCCCUAAGUAAUACACCUACAUUUUUUUUUUCUUUUUGAGAUAGAAUCUCGCUCUGUCACCCAGGCUGGAGUGCAGUGGCACGAUCUCAGCUCACUGAACCUCUGCCUCCCAGGUUCGGGCGAUUCUCAUGCCUCAGCCUCCUGAGUAACUGGGAUUACAGGUGCACACCACCAUGCCCAGCUAAUGUUUUGUAUUUUUAGUAGAGACAGGGUUUCGCCAUUUUGGCCAGGCUGGUCUCAAACUCCUGACCUCAAGUGAUCCAUCUGCCUUGGCCUCCCAAAGUGCUGGGAUUACGGGCAUGAGCCACCGCGCCCAGCCCCUGAGUAAUAUACCUACAUUUAAGGGGCAGGUCAUGAAACAAGAAGCAGUAAAACUAAAUAGACCAGAGAAACAAGGAAGAAAUGAGUUUUAAUUAGGAGGGGAUGGUUACUUGUGGAGUUCCAUGAAACGUCAAGAAAGGAACUCCUAAAAACCAAGCAGCUUGGUCAGAUGGUCACUGGCAGCAUUGCAGGACUCUCAGAAGCAUGGUGGGGGUGGAAACCAGGUUAUAGUGCACUAUGAUAUGGUCAGAAGAUGGGGAAAUGGCAAUGUUUUCUUUGAAUUGUUUUGCUAGUAGAAUAGAUGGUUCACCAUUUCAUCUGCUCUCUGGUUGGUCUGUUACUCCUAGAGAUGUAGGUCACCCACCCUUUGGCAAACAAUUGGCCAGGCUUCAAUAGUGCAAGCCUUGGACUUUGAAAAAAAUGUUCCUCUUUCUAAUGAUAACUGGCCCCUACAGCAUUAGUCUGGAGUCUUAAUCUGCCCAUUGGAACCUUAAUCAACGGAGUGAGAGAUUUAGAUGCACAGUGUAGUAACUGGAAUGGCUGUAUGAAAUAUAAAUAAGACAGGAUCCUUAAACUCAACAAGUUUAUGGGUCCAGGCAUGAAUUUUUUUUUUUUUUUUUUUUUUUUUUGAGAUGGAGUCUUACUCUGUCACCCAAGCUGGAGUUCAGUGGUGCAAUCUCAACUCACUGCAAGCUGUGCUUCCUGGGUUCGCCCCUUUCUCCUGCCUCAGCCUCCCGAGUAGCUGGGACUACAGGAGCCCACCACCACACCUGGCUAAAUUUUUUUUUUUUUUACUUUUUAGUAGAGAUGGGAUUUCACCGUGUUAGCCAGGAUGGUCUCGAUCUCCUGACCUCAUGAUCCGCCCGCCUCGGCCUCCCAAAGUGCUGGGAUUACAGGGCAUGAGCGACCCCACCCAGCCCAGGCAUGAAUUUUAAACAGCACUCCCCACCCCUUUCUGUACUCUCUCUCCCUACCUUCCCUUUCAAUGCCUCUGGGCCUCCUUUGGAGGCCCCCGGAAAGACUCAAUGGCAAUAGAAGAGGAGGAAGGCAGAAAAUACUGAAAAACGAACCAAUUUCUCCACACUUCAGCCUAGGAUUCAUUGUGUGGUAAGGUGUCAGGACAGUCUACUAGUUCCUUCUGUGGUAAAUGAAACUAUUUUGACUUAAAAACAUUUGGUGAAAAUAUCUCCCUCUUUUCUAUCCUGAGAAUAAAUUCCCUUUAGAAACUGAGCUAUCGGUGCGAAAAGUGUAAAAUGGCCAAGUCAGAAAUUUUGUCAAAAGAGCCUAUUUUUAAUGGAUAAGCCAGAUUUCCAUCUAAAGUAGUUUAUUUCCCCCAGUACCAUUUCCUACAGCCAAGUUUCCUCAGCUGUUUUUGAUUGUUAAAUCUAUUGGUAUCACUAGGGUUAAGAAUUGCUUGAACAUAUUGGGUUCUUUUAAAUCCUUAUGAAGCUCAUAAAAUUAGAGCUGGUAGAAACUUAGGUAGAUCAAGGGAUUCUUAGAAAAGUCAGGUAUCAGCUGUAGCAGCUCCUAAGUGACACUGUACCAUCUGCUAAGUCUUUCUACAGCUACCGAAGGACAAAUGUACUGGAUAAAAAGAUCAUUCCUUAGGAAAGCCAGAAAGAAAAUGUCCUGUGCUAAGUUGGGUCUAGCAAAGAUUUUCUGUUUUGCACUUUCAUUUGACCUAAAAUACUAUUUUAGAAGUUUUUUUAAAUCCCAGAAAAAAAAAAUGAAGUAAAAAGAAUAUAAACACAGUAAGGUUUGAGAUUAUUUAUUUUGUCUAUUUUCCCAUUUUCUCCAAUAUUUUGUGCUUACCAUCAGCACGCACCACAUAUUAUCUUGCCUGAGAGUUGGCUCUUGACACACACAGGUGACAUUUGACAGACUGGGAAGACUUCUUAGACAAAUACCAGCCCAGAGUUGAAAUGGAAAUGGGCCACUUAGCAAACAGAUAAUAAAUAGAACCCAUGAGGCAGAAAGAUCUUGGCCCCAUCCCUGUUGGGAAAGAAUUCAUAAUAAAAUUAUGCAAUGAUCUGAGAGCCUCUCGAGGUUGAGCACAAAGCUGAAAGAAGCUUCAUCAAUUUAAAAAGAGAG
This 4577-nucleotide long non-coding RNA is filed under the name Cercocebus atys (sooty mangabey). RNAcentral describes it as "lncRNA (ENSCATG00000045430.1)". Lineage: Eukaryota; Metazoa; Chordata; Mammalia; Primates; Cercopithecidae. The record is from RNAcentral.